ACAGCAGUAGCCGCGGGAAUACAGAGGGUGCGAGCGUUAAUCGGAUUUACUGGGCGUAAAGCGUGCGUAGGCGGCUUCUUAAGUCGGAUGUGAAAUCCCUGAGCUUAACUUAGGAAUUGCAUUCGAUACUGGGAAGCUAGAGUAUGGGAGAGGAUGGUAGAAUUCCAGGUGUAGCGGUGAAAUGCGUAGAGAUCUGGAGGAAUACCGAUGGCGAAGGCAGCCAUCUGGCCUAAUACUGACGCUGAGGUACGAAAGCAUGGGGAGCAAACAGGAUUAGAUACCCGAGUAGUCCCUGUCUCUUAUUA
RNAcentral lists this ribosomal RNA (305 nucleotides) under uncultured bacterium. RNAcentral describes it as "partial 16S ribosomal RNA". It matches the Rfam family "Bacterial small subunit ribosomal RNA", at positions 508 to 809 of the family's 1533-position model. The record is from RNAcentral.